RNAcentral lists this ribosomal RNA (425 nucleotides) under uncultured bacterium. RNAcentral's name for it is "bacterial SSU rRNA". It matches the Rfam family "Bacterial small subunit ribosomal RNA", at positions 354 to 796 of the family's 1533-position model. The record is from RNAcentral.
GUGGGGAAUUUUGCGCAAUGGGGGAAACCCUGACGCAGCGACGCCGCGUGAAGGACGAAGGCCUUCGGGUUGUAAACUUCUUUUGCAGGGGAAGAUAAUGACGGUACCCUGCGAAUAAGCCACGGCUAACUCUGUGCCAGCAGCCGCGGUAAGACAGAGGUGGCAAGCGUUGUUCGGAAUUACUGGGCUUAAAGGGCGCGUAGGCGGUGAUGCAAGUCGGUGGUGGAAGCCCACGGCUCAACCGUGGAAUUGCCAACGAAACUGCAUCACUUGAGUCAGUGAGGGGAGGGCGGAAUUCCUGGUGUAGCAGUGAAAUGCGUAGAUAUCAGGAGGAAGGCCGGUGGCGAAGGCGGCCCUCUGGCACUAGACUGACGCUGAGGCGCGAAAGCGUGGGGAGCAAACAGGAUUAGAUACCCGGGUAGUCC